Molecule: ribosomal RNA, 253 nt
Filed under: uncultured bacterium
Lineage: Bacteria
Description: partial 16S ribosomal RNA
Rfam family: Bacterial small subunit ribosomal RNA
Source: RNAcentral
UACGGAGGGUGCAAACGUUGCUCGGAAUCAUUGGGCGUAAAGCGCACGUAGGCGGCCUGUUAAGUCGGGUGUGAAGGCCCUGGGCUCAACCCAGGAAGUGCAUUCGAAACUGGCGGGCUUGAAUAUGGAAGAGGGUCGCGGAAUUCCCGGUGUAGAGGUGAAAUUCGUAGAUAUCGGGAGGAACACCAGUGGCGAAGGCGGCGACCUGGGCCAAUAUUGACGCUGAGGUGCGAAAGCGUGGGGAGCAAACAGG